This 646-nucleotide ribosomal RNA is filed under the name Yamadazyma mexicana. RNAcentral's name for it is "SSU rRNA". It matches the Rfam family "Eukaryotic small subunit ribosomal RNA", at positions 947 to 1617 of the family's 1831-position model. The record is from RNAcentral. Lineage: Eukaryota; Fungi; Ascomycota; Pichiomycetes; Serinales; Debaryomycetaceae.
GAAAGCAUUUGCCAAGGACGUUUUCAUUAAUCAAGAACGAAAGUUAGGGGAUCGAAGAUGAUCAGAUACCGUCGUAGUCUUAACCAUAAACUAUGCCGACUAGGGAUCGGGUGUUGUCCUUUUUUUGGCGCACUCGGCACCUUACGAGAAAUCAAAGUUUUUGGGUUCUGGGGGGAGUAUGGUCGCAAGGCUGAAACUUAAAGGAAUUGACGGAAGGGCACCACCAGGAGUGGAGCCUGCGGCUUAAUUUGACUCAACACGGGGAAACUCACCAGGUCCAGACACAAUAAGGAUUGACAGAUUGAGAGCUCUUUCUUGAUUUUGUGGGUGGUGGUGCAUGGCCGUUCUUAGUUGGUGGAGUGAUUUGUCUGCUUAAUUGCGAUAACGAACGAGACCUUAACCUACUAAAUAGUGCUGCUAGCAUUUGCUGGUACGACACUUCUUAGAGGGACUACCGAUUUCAAGUCGGUGGAAGUUUGAGGCAAUAACAGGUCUGUGAUGCCCUUAGACGUUCUGGGCCGCACGCGCGCUACACUGACGGAGCCAGCGAGUAUUAACCUUGGCCGAGAGGUCCGGGAAAUCUUGUGAAACUCCGUCGUGCUGGGGAUAGAGCAUUGUAAUAUUGCUCUUCAACGAGGAUUCCUAG